Molecule: ribosomal RNA, 842 nt
Filed under: uncultured bacterium
Lineage: Bacteria
Description: bacterial SSU rRNA
Rfam family: Bacterial small subunit ribosomal RNA
Source: RNAcentral
GUGUGUAGCGGUGAAAUGCGUAGAUAUAUGGAGGAACACCAGUGGCGAAGGCGAUUUACUAGCUCGAUACUGACGCUCAGUCACGAAAGCGUGGGGAGCAAAUAGGAUUAGAUACCCUAGUAGUCCACGCUGUAAACGAUGACAACUAAGUAUUGCUGUGAGGCAGUGCUGAAGCUAACGCAUUAAGUUGUCCGCCUGAGGAGUACGGUCGCAAGACUGAAACUUAAAGGAAUUGACGGGGACCCGCACAAGCAGUGGAGCAUGUGGUUUAAUUCGAUGCUACGCGAAGAACCUUACCAGGGCUUGACAUGGAUUUAAAUGUUCUAGAGAUAGAAAGAUAGCUAUAAAUCACACAGGUGGUGCAUGGUUGUCGUCAGCUCGUGUCGUGAGAUGUUGGGUUAAGUCCCGCAACGAGCGCAACCCUUGUCCUUAGUUGCUACUAUUAAAUUGGGGAACUCUAAGGAGACUGCCGAUGUAAAUCGGAGGAAGGUGGGGAUGACGUCAAAUCAUCAUGCCCUUUAUGUCCUGGGCGACACACGUGCUACAAUGGCCGGUACAGAGGGAUGCCAAACCGCGAGGUGGAGCAAAUCUCAUAAAGCCGGUCUCAGUUCAGAUUGGAGUCUGCAACUCGACUCCAUGAAGGCGGAAUUGCUAGUAAUCGCAGAUCAGCCAUGCUGCGGUGAAUACGUUCCCGGGUCUUGUACACACCGCCCGUCAAACCAUGAAAGCUGGUAAUACUCGAAGUCGUUAUCCUAACCGCAAGGGGGGAGACGCCUAAGGUAGGACUGGUGAUUGGGGUUAAGUCGUAANCAAGGUAACCGAAAGGGCGAANUCGUAACUCG